GGGCAGGGCAAAGAUAAGAGCGCGGAAAGCUGGGUAGUGGUUGAUGUUGAUGGAGGCGGGGUACCGAGAGGGAGGCAUUUGUGACCGCAGCUGGUUUGGGGGGCUGGGAUUUUGAAAAAUGGAGCUUCCUUUUUCCUGUUCACCCAACCAUGUGUCCAGUGGCUCAAGUUUCGUGGAGUGAGACCACAUAUCCUUUGGAAGGCUGAUCAGCACUGCACCAGAAACCACUGCAUAAAAUCUGUCAGGAACUCCUGAAGCCCAUUCCCCAUUCCGA
RNAcentral lists this long non-coding RNA (274 nucleotides) under Sus scrofa (pig). Its description in RNAcentral is "lncRNA (ENSSSCG00070014259.1)". The record is from RNAcentral. Lineage: Eukaryota; Metazoa; Chordata; Mammalia; Artiodactyla; Suidae.